Molecule: microRNA precursor, 56 nt
Filed under: Melibe leonina
Lineage: Eukaryota; Metazoa; Mollusca; Gastropoda; Nudibranchia; Dendronotidae
Description: microRNA mle-mir-2722 precursor
Source: miRBase by way of RNAcentral
GAGGUGUUUCAUAGGUGCUACAGUGUUUGAGACGUGGCGCCGUGAAAACAUCUGCC